Molecule: microRNA, 22 nt
Filed under: Gadus morhua (Atlantic cod)
Lineage: Eukaryota; Metazoa; Chordata; Actinopteri; Gadiformes; Gadidae
Description: gmo-miR-26a-3p
Gene: gmo-miR-26a-3p
Source: miRBase by way of RNAcentral
CCUGUCCAGGAAGACUUGCACU